Molecule: ribosomal RNA, 253 nt
Filed under: uncultured bacterium
Lineage: Bacteria
Description: partial 16S ribosomal RNA
Rfam family: Bacterial small subunit ribosomal RNA
Source: RNAcentral
UACGGGGGGAGCAAGCGUUGUUCGGAUUCACUGGGCGUAAAGGGUGCGUAGGUGGCCAGGUAAGUUCGGUGUGAAAGCUCGGAGCUUAACUUCGAAAUGUCAUUGAAUACUAUCUGGCUAGAGGGUCGGAGGGGAGACUGGAAUUCUCGGUGUAGCAGUGAAAUGCGUAGAUAUCGAGAGGAACACCAGUGGCGAAGGCGAGUCUCUGGACGACACCUGACACUGAGGCACGAAAGCUAGGGGAGCAAACAGG